RNAcentral lists this ribosomal RNA (441 nucleotides) under uncultured bacterium. Its description in RNAcentral is "partial 16S ribosomal RNA". It matches the Rfam family "Bacterial small subunit ribosomal RNA", at positions 338 to 795 of the family's 1533-position model. The record is from RNAcentral.
CCUACGGGAGGCUGCAGUGGGGAAUAUUGCACAAUGGGGGAAACCCUGAUGCAGCGACGCCGCGUGAGUGAAGAAGUAUUUCGGUAUGUAAAGCUCUAUCAGCAUGAACGAGACAAGACGGUACCUGACUAAGAAGCCCCGGCUAACUACGUGCCAGCAGCCUCGGGAAUACGUAGGGGGCAAGCGUUAUCCGGAAUCAUUGGGAGUAAAGGGAGCGUAGACGGCUUUGCAAGCCUGAAGUGAAAGGCGGGGGCCCAACCCCUUGACUGCUGUGGGGACUGUACGGCUGGAGUGCAGGAGAGGUAAGUGGAAUUCCUGGUGUAGCGGUGAAAUGCGUAGAUAUUAGGAGGAACACCAGUGGCGAAGGCGGCUUACUGGACUGUAACUGACGUGGAGGCUCGAAAGCGUGGGGAGCAAACAGGAUUAGAUACCCGAGUAGUC